GAUCAGAGUUUGGUUAAGA
Molecule: small nuclear RNA, 19 nt
Filed under: Arabidopsis thaliana (thale cress)
Lineage: Eukaryota; Viridiplantae; Streptophyta; Magnoliopsida; Brassicales; Brassicaceae
Description: snRNA_10487
Source: RNAcentral